UAGUUGAAUUUCGGGGUUAGUAGGUUGGUCAUGCCUCUGGUAUGUACUGGUCUCACUGAUUCCUCCUUCCUGAUGAACCUUAAUGCCAUUAAUUUGGUGUUUUGGGGAAUUUGGACUGUUACUUUGAAAAAAUUAGAGUGUUUAAAGCAAGCUAACGCUUGAAUACAUUAGCAUGGAAUAAUGAAAUAGGACGUUCGAUCCUAUUUUGUUGGUUUCUAGGAUUGACGUAAUGAUUAAUAGGGAUAGUUGGGGGCAUUAGUAUUCAAUUGUCAGAGGUGAAAUUCUUGGAUUUAUUGAAGACUAACU
This 306-nucleotide ribosomal RNA is filed under the name uncultured Glomus. RNAcentral describes it as "SSU rRNA". It matches the Rfam family "Eukaryotic small subunit ribosomal RNA", at positions 631 to 941 of the family's 1831-position model. Lineage: Eukaryota; Fungi; Glomeromycota; Glomeromycetes; Glomerales; Glomeraceae. The record is from RNAcentral.